RNAcentral lists this ribosomal RNA (672 nucleotides) under uncultured bacterium. RNAcentral's name for it is "bacterial SSU rRNA". It matches the Rfam family "Bacterial small subunit ribosomal RNA", at positions 9 to 676 of the family's 1533-position model. The record is from RNAcentral.
GAGUUUGAUCCUGGCUCAGAUUGAACGCUGGCGGCAUGCCUUACACAUGCAAGUCGAACGGCAGCACGGGGGCAACCCUGGUGGCGAGUGGCGAACGGGUGAGUAAUAUAUCGGAACGUACCAUUGAGUGGGGGAUAACGUAGCGAAAGUUACGCUAAUACCGCAUACGAUCUAAGGAUGAAAGCGGGGGAUCUGCAAGGACCUCGCGCUCAUUGAGCGGCCGAUAUCUGAUUAGCUAGUUGGUAGGGUAAAAGCCUACCAAGGCAUCGAUCAGUAGCUGGUCUGAGAGGACGACCAGCCACACUGGGACUGAGACACGGCCCAGACUCCUACGGGAGGCAGCAGUGGGGAAUUUUGGACAAUGGGGGCAACCCUGAUCCAGCAAUGCCGCGUGAGUGAAGAAGGCCUUCGGGUUGUAAAGCUCUUUUGUCAGGGAAGAGACGGUGGUGACUAAUAAUCGCCACUAAUGACGGUACCUGAAGAAUAAGCACCGGCUAACUACGUGCCAGCAGCCGCGGUAAUACGUACGGUGUAAGCGUUAAUCGGAAUUACUGGGCGUAUAUCGUGCGUACGCGGUUAUGUAAGACAGAUGCGACACGCCCUGCCUCUACCUGCGAACUGCAUUUGUGAUUGCCUGGAUAGAGUGUGCAUAGGGGGUAGAAUUCCUCCGUU